This 2923-nucleotide ribosomal RNA is filed under the name Staphylococcus aureus. RNAcentral's name for it is "23S ribosomal RNA". It matches the Rfam family "Bacterial large subunit ribosomal RNA". The record is from RNAcentral. Lineage: Bacteria; Bacillati; Bacillota; Bacilli; Caryophanales; Staphylococcaceae.
GAUUAAGUUAUUAAGGGCGCACGGUGGAUGCCUUGGCACUAGAAGCCGAUGAAGGACGUUACUAACGACGAUAUGCUUUGGGGAGCUGUAAGUAAGCUUUGAUCCAGAGAUUUCCGAAUGGGGAAACCCAGCAUGAGUUAUGUCAUGUUAUCGAUAUGUGAAUACAUAGCAUAUCAGAAGGCACACCCGGAGAACUGAAACAUCUUAGUACCCGGAGGAAGAGAAAGAAAAUUCGAUUCCCUUAGUAGCGGCGAGCGAAACGGGAAGAGCCCAAACCAACAAGCUUGCUUGUUGGGGUUGUAGGACACUCUGUACGGAGUUACAAAGGACGACAUUAGACGAAUCAUCUGGAAAGAUGAAUCAAAGAAGGUAAUAAUCCUGUAGUCGAAAAUGUUGUCUCUCUUGAGUGGAUCCUGAGUACGACGGAGCACGUGAAAUUCCGUCGGAAUCUGGGAGGACCAUCUCCUAAGGCUAAAUACUCUCUAGUGACCGAUAGUGAACCAGUACCGUGAGGGAAAGGUGAAAAGCACCCCGGAAGGGGAGUGAAAUAGAACCUGAAACCGUGUGCUUACAAGUAGUCAGAGCCCGUUAAUGGGUGAUGGCGUGCCUUUUGUAGAAUGAACCGGCGAGUUACGAUUUGAUGCAAGGUUAAGCAGUAAAUGUGGAGCCGUAGCGAAAGCGAGUCUGAAUAGGGCGUUUAGUAUUUGGUCGUAGACCCGAAACCAGGUGAUCUACCCUUGGUCAGGUUGAAGUUCAGGUAACACUGAAUGGAGGACCGAACCGACUUACGUUGAAAAGUGAGCGGAUGAACUGAGGGUAGCGGAGAAAUUCCAAUCGAACCUGGAGAUAGCUGGUUCUCUCCGAAAUAGCUUUAGGGCUAGCCUCAAGUGAUGAUUAUUGGAGGUAGAGCACUGUUUGGACGAGGGGCCCCUCUCGGGUUACCGAAUUCAGACAAACUCCGAAUGCCAAUUAAUUUAACUUGGGAGUCAGAACAUGGGUGAUAAGGUCCGUGUUCGAAAGGGAAACAGCCCAGACCACCAGCUAAGGUCCCAAAAUAUAUGUUAAGUGGAAAAGGAUGUGGCGUUGCCCAGACAACUAGGAUGUUGGCUUAGAAGCAGCCAUCAUUUAAAGAGUGCGUAAUAGCUCACUAGUCGAGUGACACUGCGCCGAAAAUGUACCGGGGCUAAACAUAUUACCGAAGCUGUGGAUUGUCCUUUGGACAAUGGUAGGAGAGCGUUCUAAGGGCGUUGAAGCAUGAUCGUAAGGACAUGUGGAGCGCUUAGAAGUGAGAAUGCCGGUGUGAGUAGCGAAAGACGGGUGAGAAUCCCGUCCACCGAUUGACUAAGGUUUCCAGAGGAAGGCUCGUCCGCUCUGGGUUAGUCGGGUCCUAAGCUGAGGCCGACAGGCGUAGGCGAUGGAUAACAGGUUGAUAUUCCUGUACCACCUAUAAUCGUUUUAAUCGAUGGGGGGACGCAGUAGGAUAGGCGAAGCGUGCGAUUGGAUUGCACGUCUAAGCAGUAAGGCUGAGUAUUAGGCAAAUCCGGUACUCGUUAAGGCUGAGCUGUGAUGGGGAGAAGACAUUGUGUCUUCGAGUCGUUGAUUUCACACUGCCGAGAAAAGCCUCUAGAUAGAAAAUAGGUGCCCGUACCGCAAACCGACACAGGUAGUCAAGAUGAGAAUUCUAAGGUGAGCGAGCGAACUCUCGUUAAGGAACUCGGCAAAAUGACCCCGUAACUUCGGGAGAAGGGGUGCUCUUUAGGGUUAACGCCCAGAAGAGCCGCAGUGAAUAGGCCCAAGCGACUGUUUAUCAAAAACACAGGUUUCUGCUAAACCGUAAGGUGAUGUAUAGGGGCUGACGCCUGCCCGGUGCUGGAAGGUUAAGAGGAGUGGUUAGCUUCUGCGAAGCUACGAAUCGAAGCCCCAGUAAACGGCGGCCGUAACUAUAACGGUCCUAAGGUAGCGAAAUUCCUUGUCGGGUAAGUUCCGACCCGCACGAAAGGCGUAACGAUUUGGGCACUGUCUCAACGAGAGACUCGGUGAAAUCAUAGUACCUGUGAAGAUGCAGGUUACCCGCGACAGGACGGAAAGACCCCGUGGAGCUUUACUGUAGCCUGAUAUUGAAAUUCGGCACAGCUUGUACAGGAUAGGUAGGAGCCUUUGAAACGUGAGCGCUAGCUUACGUGGAGGCGCUGGUGGGAUACUACCCUAGCUGUGUUGGCUUUCUAACCCGCACCACUUAUCGUGGUGGGAGACAGUGUCAGGCGGGCAGUUUGACUGGGGCGGUCGCCUCCUAAAAGGUAACGGAGGCGCUCAAAGGUUCCCUCAGAAUGGUUGGAAAUCAUUCAUAGAGUGUAAAGGCAUAAGGGAGCUUGACUGCGAGACCUACAAGUCGAGCAGGGUCGAAAGACGGACUUAGUGAUCCGGUGGUUCCGCAUGGAAGGGCCAUCGCUCAACGGAUAAAAGCUACCCCGGGGAUAACAGGCUUAUCUCCCCCAAGAGUUCACAUCGACGGGGAGGUUUGGCACCUCGAUGUCGGCUCAUCGCAUCCUGGGGCUGUAGUCGGUCCCAAGGGUUGGGCUGUUCGCCCAUUAAAGCGGUACGCGAGCUGGGUUCAGAACGUCGUGAGACAGUUCGGUCCCUAUCCGUCGUGGGCGUAGGAAAUUUGAGAGGAGCUGUCCUUAGUACGAGAGGACCGGGAUGGACAUACCUCUGGUGUACCAGUUGUCGUGCCAACGGCAUAGCUGGGUAGCUAUGUGUGGACGGGAUAAGUGCUGAAAGCAUCUAAGCAUGAAGCCCCCCUCAAGAUGAGAUUUCCCAACUUCGGUUAUAAGAUCCCUCAAAGAUGAUGAGGUUAAUAGGUUCGAGGUGGAAGCAUGGUGACAUGUGGAGCUGACGAAUACUAAUCGAUCGAAGACUUAAUCAA